Molecule: ribosomal RNA, 610 nt
Filed under: uncultured archaeon
Lineage: Archaea
Description: bacterial SSU rRNA
Rfam family: Archaeal small subunit ribosomal RNA
Source: RNAcentral
GGCCCUACGGGGUGCAGCAGGCGCGAAAACUUUACAAUGCUGGGAACAGCGAUAAGGGAACCUCGAGUGCCAGGUUACAAAUCUGGCUGUCGUGAUGCCUAAAAAGCAUUAUAUAGCAAGGGCCGGGCAAGACCGGUGCCAGCCGCCGCGGUAACACCGGCGGCUCGAGUGGUAACCGUUAUUAUUGGGUCUAAAGGGUCUGUAGCCGGCCGGAUAAGUCUCUUGGGAAAUCUGGCAGCUCAACUGUCAGGCUUUCAGGGGAUACUGUCUGGCUCGAGGCCGGGAGAGGUGAGAGGUACUUCAGGGGUAGGGGUGAAAUCUUGUAAUCCUUGAAGGACCACCAGUGGCGAAGGCGUCUCACCAGAACGGACCUGACGGCAAGGGACGAAAGCUAGGGGCACGAACCGGAUUAGAUACCCGGGUAGUCCUAGCCGUAAACGAUACUCGCUAGGUGUCGGCCACGGUGCGACCGUUGUCGGUGCCGUAGGGAAGCCGUGAAGCGAGCCACCUGGGAAGUACGGCCGCAAGGCUGAAACUUAAAGGAAUUGGCGGGGGAGCACCACAACGGGUGGAGCUUGCGGUUUAAUUGGAUUCAACGCCGGAAAUCUUA